Molecule: transfer RNA, 84 nt
Filed under: Dermacentor andersoni
Lineage: Eukaryota; Metazoa; Arthropoda; Arachnida; Ixodida; Ixodidae
Description: transfer RNA leucine (anticodon CAG)
Rfam family: tRNA
About the family: Transfer RNA (tRNA) molecules are approximately 80 nucleotides in length. Their secondary structure includes four short double-helical elements and three loops (D, anti-codon, and T loops). Further hydrogen bonds mediate the characteristic L-shaped molecular structure. tRNAs have two regions of fundamental functional importance: the anti-codon, which is responsible for specific mRNA codon recognition, and the 3' end, to which the tRNAs corresponding amino acid is attached (by aminoacyl-tRNA synthetases). tRNAs cope with the degeneracy of the genetic code in two manners: having more than one tRNA (with a specific anti-codon) for a particular amino acid; and 'wobble' base-pairing, i.e. permitting non-standard base-pairing at the 3rd anti-codon position.
Source: RNAcentral
GUCAGGAUGGCCGAGCGGUCCAAGGCGCUGCGUUCAGGUCGCAGUCCGGUCUUCCGGGCGUGGGUUUAAAUCCCACUUCUGACA